Molecule: long non-coding RNA, 2289 nt
Filed under: Selaginella moellendorffii
Lineage: Eukaryota; Viridiplantae; Streptophyta; Lycopodiopsida; Selaginellales; Selaginellaceae
Description: long non-coding RNA (SMOE_LNC000232)
Source: RNAcentral
CAGCUCCUAUUUGGUUCUACUUAGUUUUAAUUACUCAUUAACUACACAAAUAAUAGAGUUUUAGCCAUUCACGGAUUCCCAAAUUCUUUCUCAACUUAAUUCUUUGGUGUAAGCUCUUGAAUUUGAAAUUCCUAGGCAGCAGCUCCUGGAUCUCGAACACCUGCAUGCAGCGGCGGACGGUGAUCAGUGCCACGAUUGGCAGCAGCGCUGCGAUGGAAAUCCACGCUAGGAGGAGGGAUUUGGACUUGUAGGUGGAUUCUCCCUGAAUAACCGCGAGCACCUGGAGACCACGCUGCGUGAUCUGGACUUGGUCGGCGUGGAGUCCCCAGGUCACGAACUUCGCCUGCCUCUGCAUUUCUGUGCCCAUCAUGGCGAUGACAGCCGAGUAGGAGACGAUGGCCAGCAGCAAGUUGGCGAUCAACAGCAGCGGUCUUGAGGUAGCGGGUUUUCCUUCUCAAGUUUUUUGAACGAAGGCGACUUAGCUGUGAAUUUGUGAGUGGCUUUGUAGUAGCCACCACGGCGAUGAAAGUGCUGGGAAGAGCGAUGGCUGCCACCCAGAAAUCCGUGGCGGCUCCUUGUUCCAGGUUGAGAGCCGAGCUGUGAGCUUGGAUGUACAGGUUCUUGAGCUGGAAGAGGUAUGCUUCAAGGAUACCGACCUCGGAAUCUAUGGUAUCAUUGAAAGAUGGGAUGAAAUCGGUGCCUGCCAGGCACAUAUCUCUCGCUGCUGGCACCACACAGUCGGUAAGGCCUUGGACAUUGUUUAUUUCUGAAAAGUUUGUGUCGUUCCUCCAGGAUGCCGGAGGUGGAUAUAAUCGGUGGAACAGCGAUAGCACGUCUUUUCGGUUCCCAUUGCCUUGGACACACAGGUAGCCUUCGCCAUCGGCGCUAGAGUUUGAGCAUGCAACAAAGCUUCCCGUCGAGCCAGACGCUAAAACAGGUGUGUGUACUUGUUGCUCGCAUUCGCUGAUAUUGACUUCCUCUCCUAGAAAAUUUAGUGGCUGCUCCAUUCCCAAAACCCGGCAGUAUUGCUUGCUACUUGUGCUGUUGAAUUUGUCGUCCAUUUGAUAGCAUCUCUCCACUGCAUAGUAACCCGCGUCAGAAGCUUUCUUCACGACAGCUUUUAUGCCCAGUAUUGUCUCGGCCUGCACCCUCUGGGCCUGCACCCUCCAGGCCUGCCCCGCGGUUGAAAAAUCUCUGGACGCCAUCUGUUUAUCUCCCGACACUUCCCGUCGCAUCUAUCAUCUGUUUCGUUCCGGAACUUCCCACCAGCGUUUUAUGUCUGGAACUUCCCGUCUCAUCUAUCACCGAUUUAACUCCGGAACUUCCCGUCGCAUCUUCAUCUUCAUCUCCGUACAUUAAAUUACGUCUAGCGCUGGUUUUACUGUCAGUCCUUGUCUUGUUUGAGCAGGAGAUAAGUGUGGCAUCUUGAAAGCUUUUGAUUUUCACAUCCGAGCUGUUGAGCAACUUGACUUGGCGGCUGUUGCUGGAGAGCUCGAGAAUUCUUGCUGUUAAAGAGUUGCUAACUGUCUGGCUAAACUUAUCUUCUCCAUUCUCUUUAGAGGUUCUUAUGGACUCGGACAUCUCCCAGACUGUUCUAAACGCUGGCUUCUCCCCGAUCGUAGUGAGUAUGACUGGAGCCACACUGUCGCAAGCCUUACUGUCAUCUUUGUUGUUGUCGCCAACACACAAGUAAGCCAGGAUCCAUACUGUGACACGCAUCGUUCCCAGGCUCUUGAUGUGGUCGACGGACUGGUACUCUGCAAUCGGGGAGAAGCCAGGAUCGAGUUCCUCCCCCUCGUGCCUAACAGACCCUUCUUCUGCCUGAUCUCCGAUUUAGCCCGAUCCGUCAGAUUUUGGUCUUCGUGCCCAAAAUCGCAGCGUGACUGGUUGUGUACAGCGCCAACCAUGUACCGGAGAAAGGCCUCGGGACGCCUGUCCUGGAGGGGGAGGAACUGCCACCAUACCUGUUUGUGGAGGGCUCAUUCUCAGGAUCGCCGUGGAGCUGUCCACCUCCGACAGAUCGCCUUGCUGCACAGAAAUCAGUGCGUGUCCAUGGCACGAGAAGAGAACAAGAAUGCAGGCCGAGAACACAAGCAACUUCAUCUGCGGUGUAAGGCUACGCAGAGAACCCAUGGCUCGGUGUCUCAAUUAUAAAAGCAAAGUUACAAAGAACUUUGAAUAUUUUAAGUGGUUUGUGGGGGAUAUGGAAUGAGAAGAUGCUUUCACACUGAGAUUGAGACUGCAAAUGCUUUCACACUGUUCCCAGGGAUGGACGUGGUUAAGUUCCUG